AAAAUACAAGGGAAUAAUACGAUAAAUAAAUGGUCUCGUUGUAAGGUAGCCCAAGAGAAAGCCUUGUGUGUGCAUUGUGUCCUAAGCUAACAAGUGGAUAAUUGAAUUACAAAGCAUGUCCUCAUAGGGUAGUGCCAUGAAUGCUCUCUUGUAAUAAAAGAUUACAAGUCCAUGAUGCCCUAAGUCAAGCAUAGGUUAAUCACUAAAGUCUAAGUCCAAUCAAGGGUCCUAACAGGUCCUCUAAGUCUCAUUCUUUAAGUGUCACAAACAAGAAUAUUGAGUUUUUUUGGUCUUUUCCAUUUUUAUCAUGUUUUUG
RNAcentral lists this long non-coding RNA (316 nucleotides) under Lathyrus oleraceus (garden pea). RNAcentral's name for it is "Pisum sativum (pea) long non-coding RNA (PSAT_LNC020029)". The record is from RNAcentral. Lineage: Eukaryota; Viridiplantae; Streptophyta; Magnoliopsida; Fabales; Fabaceae.